CCUACGGGAGGCAGCAGUGGGGAAUUUUGGACAAUGGGCGAAAGCCUGAUCCAGCCAUGCCGCGUGCAGGAUGAAGGCCUUCGGGUUGUAAACUGCUUUUGCACGGAACGAAAAGGUCUUUUCUAAUAAAGAAGGCUCAUGACGGUACCGUAAGAAUAAGCACCGGCUAACUACGUGCCAGCAGCCGCGGUAAUACGUAGGGUGCGAGCGUUAAUCGGAAUUACUGGGCGUAAAGCGUGCGCAGGCGGUUAUAUAAGACAGUUGUGAAAUCCCCGGGCUCAACCUGGGAACUGCAUCUGUGACUGUAUAGCUAGAGUACGGUAGAGGGGGAUGGAAUUCCGCGUGUAGCAGUGAAAUGCGUAGAUAUGCGGAGGAACACCGAUGGCGAAGGCAAUCCCCUGGACCUGUACUGACGCUCAUGCACGAAAGCGUGGGGAGCAAACAGGAUUAGAUACCCUGGUAGUCCACGCCCUAAACGAUGUCAACUGGUUGUUGGGUCUUCACUGACUCAGUAACGAAGCUAACGCGUGAAGUUGACCGCCUGGGGAGACGCGCGAGUAGAACACAANAGAGUGAGCGNGAGACGNGCGACGGACGACGACGAGGGAGGAGG
This 613-nucleotide ribosomal RNA is filed under the name uncultured bacterium. RNAcentral describes it as "bacterial SSU rRNA". It matches the Rfam family "Bacterial small subunit ribosomal RNA", at positions 338 to 954 of the family's 1533-position model. The record is from RNAcentral.